Molecule: long non-coding RNA, 623 nt
Organism: Ailuropoda melanoleuca (giant panda)
Lineage: Eukaryota; Metazoa; Chordata; Mammalia; Carnivora; Ursidae
Exons: 4
Source: RefSeq, a predicted model, not a curated record
GUCAAGGGAAGCUGGUGAUGCCAUACUACAGAUCAGCCUCCCCAGACACAGAGCAGGUGAACGGGGAAUCUGGAGGGGCAAAUAGAAGCUAUCCAUUUUUUUUUAAAGUUCCAGCUCAGAGGUUUCCCCCUUUAUGACUGCAGAGUGUAAUAACACAUAGUUCGAAAUAGAAAUAUAGUCGGUGAUGCCAUACACUUUGUCACCUGCAAGCCCUGAGUUGAAGAACAAAUAGAAGAAUGAAUUGAAGGAUGUUUGAAUAAUGACUCAAGUGUUAACAGACACAAAUGGCAGCAUUACUUUCAUAAUAGGAGCACGGAAGACAGAAGGAGAGUGCCACAGUACUGCCUGAGUCCCUCUCUGCAUGUGCCCAGGGAGGAGGCCACGUGAGAGCACAGUAAGAACAUGUCUCUAACAGCCAGGAUGAGAGAUUUCACCAGUAACCAACUCUGAUGGACCCUUGAUCUUGGACUUCCAGUCUCCAGAACUGUGAGAAUAUAAAUUUCUUUUUCUAAGCUACCCAGUCUGUGGUAUUUUGUUUUGGCAGCCCAAGCUAAGACACUAUCAUGGUCUUUGGAACCAAACUGAUGUGGACUCAUAUCUCAGCUCUACCAUUUAUUAGCUCU